CAAUAGCGUAUAUUAAAGUUGUUGCGGUUAAAAAGCUCGUAGUUGGAUUUCUGCUGAGAACGACCGGUCCGCCCUCUGGGUGUGUAUCUGGCUCUUUCUUGGCAUCUUCUUGGUGAACGUUGCUGCACUUGACUGUGUGGAGCGCUACCCAGGACUUUUACUUUGAGGAAAUUAGAGUGUUUCAAGCAGGCAUACGCCUUGAAUACAUUAGCAUGGAAUAAUAAGAUAGGACCUCGGUUCUAUUUUGUUGGUUUCUAGAGCUGAGGUAAUGAUUAAUAGGGAUAGUUGGGGGCAUUCGUAUUUAAUUGUCAGAGGUGAAAUUCUUGGAUUUAUGAAAGACUGACAUCUGCGAAAGCAUUUGCCAAGGAUGUUUUCAUUGA
This 380-nucleotide ribosomal RNA is filed under the name uncultured eukaryote. RNAcentral's name for it is "partial 18S ribosomal RNA". It matches the Rfam family "Eukaryotic small subunit ribosomal RNA", at positions 592 to 976 of the family's 1831-position model. The record is from RNAcentral.